GACGAACGCUGGCGGCGUGCCUAAUACAUGCAAGUCGAGCGAAGUGGAGAGAGCUUGCUCUCGAAGCUUAGCGGCGAACGGGUGAGUAACACGUGGGCAACCUGCCCGAUAGACCGGGAUAACUUGGGGGAAACUCAAGCUAAUACCGGAUAGGAUCAUUAACCGCCUGGUUGGUGAUGGAAAGUCUGAACGACACUAUCGGAUGGGCCCGCGGCGCAUUAGCUAGUUGGUGGGGUAACGGCCCUACCCAAGGCGACGAUGCGUAGCCGACCUGAGAGGGUGACCGGCCACACUGGGACUGAGACACGGCCCAGACUCCUACGGGAGGCAGCAGUAGGGAAUCUUCCACAAUGGGCGAAAGCCUGAUGGAGCAACGCCGCGUGAGUGAUGAAGGUUUUCGGAUCGUAAAACUCUGUUGUUAGGGAAGAACACCCGGGAGAGGAUCCCGGUUUGACGGUACCUGACGAGAAAGCCCCGGCUAACUACGUG
RNAcentral lists this ribosomal RNA (489 nucleotides) under uncultured bacterium. RNAcentral describes it as "bacterial SSU rRNA". It matches the Rfam family "Bacterial small subunit ribosomal RNA", at positions 28 to 507 of the family's 1533-position model. The record is from RNAcentral.